This is a long non-coding RNA of Piliocolobus tephrosceles (Ugandan red Colobus), 614 nucleotides long. RefSeq lists it as uncharacterized. NCBI's taxonomy places the organism in Eukaryota, Metazoa, Chordata, Mammalia, Primates, Cercopithecidae. The record is from RefSeq and is a predicted model, not a curated record. The transcript has 3 exons.
UCUUUCAAGAAAAAAAGUCUCAUUUGAGAAGUCUUCAUAUCUCGUGAGGAUGAAUUAAAAGCAGAAUCUCAACUUUGCUACCUUUAAAUGUCACGGAGAGAAAAAACUGCAAAAUCAUGUGCAACAAUAUCCAUGAUAAAUCAUCUUUGAUCUCAACAUAACAGAGACUAUAAGGACUAUAAAGACUAGAAGAAAGAGUAGAAGUUUAUCCACAAUCAAUUCAGAACCAGGUCUUCUAUGGUGGCUCACAGUUCCUGCACCCUACAAUAUUGUGAAUUUUCUUCCGCUUCCUUUCAUGUAAUGACAUGAAUAUGCUCCAGUGGAUCCUAGGAUAUCUUUCACAUGAGGUUACCCUCGCCCUUUGGAUGUCAGGUGGAACAAAGGGAUGGAAGAUUUUUUGUACUGGGACAUUCAGUAAACCCCUAGGCCUACCUAUUGUGUAGUUAGAGUUAGAGAAGCAAACGAUGUCCGUGAGGGCCUACAAGGCACAAGAGGACGAAAGUUUAACUUAAAGUUUAGAUGCUAAUAUUCUAGCUAAUAAUAAUGUAUGAUUGCCUCAUGUGCUCUCUUUUUUUAUAUUUCUCUCCUAAUAUAUAAAGAUGGAUUUCAAAAGA